UACAGAGGUGGCAAGCGUUGUUCGGAAUUACUGGGCGUAAAGGGCGCGUAGGCGGCCAUCUAAGUCAGACGUGAAAUCCCCCGGCUUAACCUGGGAACUGCGUCUGAUACUGGACGGCUUGAGUGUGGCAGAGGGGGGUGGAAUUCCACGUGUAGCAGUGAAAUGCGUAGAGAUGUGGAGGAACACCGAUGGCGAAGGCAGCCCCCUGGGCUAACACUGACGCUCAUGCACGAAAGCGUGGGGAGCAAACAGG
Molecule: ribosomal RNA, 253 nt
Filed under: uncultured bacterium
Lineage: Bacteria
Description: partial 16S ribosomal RNA
Rfam family: Bacterial small subunit ribosomal RNA
Source: RNAcentral